GUAAAACCAAACUCAGUCAGUCAAUCAGAGUGCAAAAUAUGACAAUAUCUUCCAGUUUCUACAGUCAAACCAAAAUUACUACAUCGAAAUCUCGAAAGGGUGGAUCUGAGUCUCAAUGCAAUUUA
This is a long non-coding RNA of Haliotis rubra (blacklip abalone), 125 nucleotides long. RefSeq lists it as uncharacterized. NCBI's taxonomy places the organism in Eukaryota, Metazoa, Mollusca, Gastropoda, Lepetellida, Haliotidae. The transcript is spliced from 3 exons. The record is from RefSeq and is a predicted model, not a curated record.